CGCGUAGGCGGCCCGCCAAGUCCCGUGUGAAAGCCCCCGGCUCAACCGGGGAACGGCGCGGGAAACUAGCAGGCUUGAGUUCGGGAGAGGGAAGCGGAAUUCCGGGUGUAGCGGUGAAAUGCGCAGAUAUCCGGAGGAACACCGGUGGCGAAGGCGGCUUCCUGGACCGACACUGACGCUGAGGCGCGAAAGCUAGGGGAGCAAACGGGAUUAGAUACCCCGGUAGUCCUAGCCCUAAACGAUGAGAACUGGGUGUAGGGGGUAUGAACCCCCCCUGUGCCGAAGCUAACGCAUUAAGUUCUCCGCCUGGGGAGUACGGUCGCAAGGCUGAA
This 332-nucleotide ribosomal RNA is filed under the name uncultured bacterium. Its description in RNAcentral is "bacterial SSU rRNA". It matches the Rfam family "Bacterial small subunit ribosomal RNA", at positions 568 to 898 of the family's 1533-position model. The record is from RNAcentral.